UACGUAGGGGGCAAGCGUUGUCCGGAAUCAUUGGGCGUAAAGAGCGUGUAGGCGGCCAGAAAAGUCCGCUGUGAAAACUCGAGGCUCAACUUCGAGCUGUCGGUGGAAACUUUCUGGCUAGAGUCCGGAAGAGGAGAAUGGAAUUCCUGGUGUAGCGGUGAAAUGCGCAGAUAUCAGGAGGAACACCGGUGGCGAAGGCGGGUCUCUGGGCCGGAACUGACGCUAAGGAGCGAAAGCGUGGGGAGCAAACAGG
RNAcentral lists this ribosomal RNA (253 nucleotides) under uncultured bacterium. RNAcentral describes it as "partial 16S ribosomal RNA". It matches the Rfam family "Bacterial small subunit ribosomal RNA", at positions 524 to 776 of the family's 1533-position model. The record is from RNAcentral.